CAGUAGCCGCGGGAAAACGUAGGGCGCAAGCGUUAUCCGGAAUUAUUGGGCGUAAAGAGCUCGUAGGCGGUUUGUCGCGUCUGCCGUGAAAGUCCGGGGCUCAACCCCGGAUCUGCGGUGGGUACGGGCAGACUAGAGUGAUGUAGGGGAGACUGGAAUUCCUGGUGUAGCGGUGAAAUGCGCAGAUAUCAGGAGGAACACCGAUGGCGAAGGCAGGUCUCUGGGCAUUAACUGACGCUGAGGAGCGAAAGCAUGGGGAGCGAACAGGAUUAGAUACCCCCGUAGUCCCUGUCUCUUAUAC
This 301-nucleotide ribosomal RNA is filed under the name uncultured bacterium. Its description in RNAcentral is "partial 16S ribosomal RNA". It matches the Rfam family "Bacterial small subunit ribosomal RNA", at positions 509 to 807 of the family's 1533-position model. The record is from RNAcentral.